AUUGAACGCUGGCGGCAGGCUUAACACAUGCGAGUCGAGCGGGGGAAGGUAGCUUGCUACCGGACCUAGCGGCGGACGGGUGAGUAAUGCUUAGGAAUCUGCCUAUUAGUGGGGGACAACAUCUCGAAAGGGGUGCUAAUACCGCAUACGUCCUACGGGAGAAAGCAGGGGAUCUUCGGACCUUGCGCUAAUAGAUGAGCCUAAGUCGGAUUAGCUAGUUGGUGGGGUAAAGGCCUACCAAGGCGACGAUCUGUAGCGGGUCUGAGAGGAUGAUCCGCCACACUGGGACUGAGACACGGCCCAGACUCCUACGGGAGGCAGCAGUGGGGAAUAUUGGACAAUGGGGGGAACCCUGAUCCAGCCAUGCCGCGUGUGUGAAGAAGGCCUUAUGGUUGUAAAGCACUUUAAGCGAGGAGGAGGCUACUUUAGUUAAUACCUAGAGAUAGUGGACGUUACUCGCAGAAUAAGCACCGGCUAACUCUGUGCCAGCAGCCGCGGUAA
Molecule: ribosomal RNA, 501 nt
Filed under: uncultured bacterium
Lineage: Bacteria
Description: partial 16S ribosomal RNA
Rfam family: Bacterial small subunit ribosomal RNA
Source: RNAcentral